CUUGUCCAGCCGUCAGUCGCUGACGGGAUGCACGAGAAGUAAAUGCCAAGCAAUUGCCGGAUGGGGUUGGGUUUUGGCCGUCCCGCAUGGUGUGAGGGUCGUUUAUUCCUUCGGUACCCAAAACUUAAAAAACAAUGAUAUUAAGAUCCUUUAUACAGCAAUUUUUAUUUGGCUAGAGGUAUCUAGCCUACAAUCAGUCCACAUGAGAGCCUUUUCUUUCCUCACCUCAUUACUAUAAUAAAGCUGGAUGAGAUAACCAUUCUUAUGGAAAGGAGGUAAAUCUCAACUGGGUUACUUUAUCGGCACAUCAAAAUAUAUCAAGUUGUAGUAGGGAUCUAGAUAGAUUGAGGAUUCACUCCAUUCGCCGCUCUUGGUUCAUUGUUUUCUAUUUCUUUAUCACUGACUAUUAUUUCUUUUC
This 418-nucleotide long non-coding RNA is filed under the name Phoenix dactylifera (date palm). RNAcentral's name for it is "long non-coding RNA (PDAC_LNC019487)". The record is from RNAcentral. Lineage: Eukaryota; Viridiplantae; Streptophyta; Magnoliopsida; Arecales; Arecaceae.